Molecule: ribosomal RNA, 574 nt
Filed under: uncultured Bacillota bacterium
Lineage: Bacteria; Bacillati; Bacillota
Description: bacterial SSU rRNA
Rfam family: Bacterial small subunit ribosomal RNA
Source: RNAcentral
GGCAUACGGGUGAGUAACACGUGGGCAAUCUGCCCGGAGGUGGGGGAUAACUCCCGGAAACGGGGGCUAAUACCGCAUGAUAUCGCGAGAGCUUCGGCUCUUGCGAUCAAAGCUAGCCUCUUCUUGAAAGCUAGCGCCAUCGGAGGAGCUCGCGGCCCAUUAGCUUGUUGGUGAGGUAACGGCUCACCAAGGCUACGAUGGGUAGCCGGCCUGAGAGGGCGAUCGGCCACACUGGAACUGAGACACGGUCCAGACUCCUACGGGAGGCAGCAGUGAGGAAUAUUGCGCAAUGGGCGAAAGCCUGACGCAGCGACGCCGCGUGGAGGACGAAGGCCUUCGGGUCGUAAACUCCUGUCAAGGGGGACGGACGUCGUAGGGAUGAAUAAGCCUUACGUUUGACGGUACCUCUGGAGGAAGCCCCGGCUAACUCCGUGCCAGCAGCCGCGGUAAUACGGAGGGGGCCAGCGUUGUUCGGAAUUAUUGGGCGUAAAGGGCGCGCAGGCGGCCAGGCCAGUCGGAGGUGAAAUCCCUCAGCUCAACUGAGGAGCUGCCUCCGAUACUGCAUGGCUUGAGU